AUUGAACGCUGGCGGCAGGCCUAACACAUGCAAGUCGAGCGGAUGAAGGGAGCUUGCUCCUGGAUUCAGCGGCGGACGGGUGAGUAAUGCCUAGGAAUCUGCCUGGUAGUGGGGGAUAACGUCCGGAAACGGGCGCUAAUACCGCAUACGUCCUGAGGGAGAAAGUGGGGGAUCUUCGGACCUCACGCUAUCAGAUGAUCCUAGGUCGGAUUAGCUAGUUGGUGGGGUAAAGGCCUACCAAGGCGACGAUCCGUAACUGGUCUGAGAGGAUGAUCAGUCACACUGGAACUGAGACACGGUCCAGACUCCUACGGGAGGCAGCAGUGGGGAAUAUUGGACAAUGGGCGAAAGCCUGAUCCAGCCAUGCCGCGUGUGUGAAGAAGGUCUUCGGAUUGUAAAGCACUUUAAGUUGGGAGGAAGGGCAGAAAGUUAAUACCUUGCUGUUUUGACGUUACCAACAGAAUAAGCACCGGCUAACUUCGUG
This 484-nucleotide ribosomal RNA is filed under the name uncultured bacterium. RNAcentral's name for it is "partial 16S ribosomal RNA". It matches the Rfam family "Bacterial small subunit ribosomal RNA", at positions 30 to 507 of the family's 1533-position model. The record is from RNAcentral.